This 390-nucleotide ribosomal RNA is filed under the name Triticum aestivum (bread wheat). RNAcentral's name for it is "partial small subunit ribosomal RNA". Lineage: Eukaryota; Viridiplantae; Streptophyta; Magnoliopsida; Poales; Poaceae. The record is from RNAcentral.
AUGCAUGUUGGUACGAUUAUGGAGUCGAAUGAUGCAACUUUCUUUGAGGACAUAUUUCCUAUGAAGGAUAUGUCGAGUUCAUCAAAUCAGGAGACACCUACUCCAUCUAGUGAGGAGUUCACUGCAAUUCCUAAACCCAUCAUUGCGAUGGAAUACGUUGAGAAUCCUGUUGAGGGUGACAAUGGAACUCCUGUGAGGAGUAAGAGACAUAGGGCUACAAAGUCCUUUGGUGAUUAUUUCAUUAUGUACCUCGUGGAUGACACACCCAGGACUAUUUCAGAAGCCUGUGCAUCUCUUGAUGCUGACUACUGGAAGGAAGCUGUACGUAGCGAGAUGGAUUCCAUCUUAGGUAACGGAACCUGGGAGAUCACUGACCGUCCUUAUGGGUGA